Long non-coding RNA from Oreochromis niloticus (Nile tilapia), 2418 nucleotides. RefSeq lists it as uncharacterized. Lineage: Eukaryota; Metazoa; Chordata; Actinopteri; Cichliformes; Cichlidae. The transcript is spliced from 3 exons. The record is from RefSeq and is a predicted model, not a curated record.
CACGCAACGAAGCAUGUGGUUCAGUCCAAUGAGGCUGUCAGCAGUACUUCAGAUGCCCGAGCCCUUUGACACACCUUUUACCAACCAGGAAGGAGACGCCAAACGCCCACCCAGGCAUCAAGCGAGAAGCGACUCUGCUACUCGAGUGACCCUACGUGACUGAGAAAUGAGAUUAAAAAAGAAAAAGGGGAGAUGGAGGGCUCUUCCUCGCCGUCUUGGUGCUGUUGGGGAAUUGUGUAUUCAGCAGAUAAAGAUAUUUCCAGCGCCGCCCUCCUCCCUCUCUGUCCCCUUCUGGCGCUUGAACUCUGAGUGGGUUUGCUGUUAAUUGGAUUCAGAUUGCAGAGAUAAUACAGUCUUACGCAGAGCACUGCUUGGCCCGGCCGUGUCGGGUUUUCCCGAGCUCGGGCCUCCGGUUAAUGCCGACGAAGUAAGUACGGCAGCCUCGCAGAGGAGAACGUGUGAGGAAACAGUCUGCUGUGCAUCUGCACCCAGGCGGCAUUGCCAGCGGGGAGGAGGUCACCCAAUCAUUAGUGCCCCAGGGAUGAUGUCAUCCCGCUGUGCGCUGAAUGCCAGUCAGCACCCCAAACACACACACACACACACACACACACACACACACGUGUCCCUCCCGGCCUCAGAGAAUGCAUCAUCACCGCUGUACCGCUGACUCAGCUGGGUGUUGUUGUGUGUGUGCAUGUACGAUUGUGUGUGUUUGCAUAAGUAACCUUGACAUAAUAUGCAAACAAAAUUUUUUUUAAUGGGAAGUCGCACUAAAAGAGGUCUUUCUGCCACCAGUCUGAGCUCCAGCUGUCAGUGAGGAUAACUUUCAAACUACUUGUCUGGACUGCCGUGAUGACGAACGUCAGCAGCAAAGUCAGACUGUAAUUCCACAAAUCAUGCACUUCCUAUCUGCGAAUCCCAAGAGGGAGGAAAAUACUUUUUUCCCCGUUUGUUUGCACGGGCCAACUGAGACAAAGGCCUUUACGUUUAUAGGAAGUGCGAUUUGUUGCUUCUGCUCGGAUGAGGAAUGUAGCCAGGAAAGAAGCGACGCAGACCGAGACGGCAGAAGGAAAAGCAGCGGAAAAAAAGAUGCACGAGUGGUGGCGCAUCAAAAAGCUGCACAUUUGUUUUCAAUUUCCGGCAACGAUCCCUGAAACCAAAUCAGAGCAGUCGCGCUGGAGGGCCAAAUUGGCACGAAACGUGCUCUUACCCUCCUACAUCACCCCGUUCUGCCGUUCUCUACAAUAAUAUUUUCUUUCACAGGCAAAGAGCAUGUUUGAUCGCCCCUUUUAUUAGAGAAGAGGCCCGCCUCAGAAGUGCCUCCCUGCCGCCCGUUCCCACCGCUGUCGCUGUCUGUCUUCGCCACCACACGCUGUGCAGCCUGGCGCUGGGAACGCGAAAACAGGGAAAAGGGCCCGGGCUCGAGGGCUCAGAUGUGGAAUAAAGCGCCAAAUCGGGCCUCGGUUCUUCCAUCCAAAGGGUCAUAUUAUGUUCAGAGGUUGGCUUUCCUCCAUGUAGCCAGGCUCCUUAUUGAUCAAUAAGACAAGUCGCCUGUUUGCAUUAAUCCCACAAGCUGCCCACAUGCAGGAAUCUGCAGCACAGGGAAAAAUCUUCCAAGAGGUAAUUUCUUCAUGUUUGCAGCGAAGAGGCCCUGGAAAAAAAUCCCAAACUCAUUCUGUUUUUAUAGUUCCCCUCACUCAUUCUUUUAUAAGCGUACAGACUUGGCAGGCAAAUUCGGGUUUCCUCCCCUGACUACGAAGGAAAAAAAUACCACUUAAUGUCUGUCCCUUUGUUCUCUACAUCGAAUCAAACCAUUGGAUGAUUUACACCAGAGGUUAGGCCCAAGGUAUUGUUUGAAGGCGAGCUUGGAAUUCCUACUGCACUGAGUGUUUCCUCUGUUUUCUUUAGUCUGGCUUGCACAUCUUGACCAUGACAAGUAGUGAAAUGCCAACAUGCCCCAGAUUAUCUCUUAAGGGACAAGUGUGCAGGAGUCUGCUUCCUGCCUGCAUUGUUCCAGAACAGUAUCCUGUUUAUUACAGCUGGAUGAGCCACAGAAGAAUGGCUGGGCAACACCUACAUUUGUAGCGGUGGUCAUGCAUUAAAUUGGGACUUUUAGCAGAGAUAAGAGGGAGCGCUAAAGUUGAGAAACAGAUGUCCAAAACAAAGCCAUCAGUCUUCUCUUUGUCUUCACAGAUUAAAACUAUUGCGUCCACUCCCUUUUCUUAAAUGUUUGUUGAGUUUUCAGAUCUUCUGCAUAAAAAUGCUCAUUUUGUAUGUUCGCUCAGCGGCUCUGAGGAGGCAAACACUUAUUAUGGAGCUCUCUGUUUUUUCGCGCUGAUGGAUUACCUUGUUGAAUUUACAGGAGAAUGUAUCAUAAAUCACUGCUACGCUGACCUUUCCUUAUAAAAUGUGAAUCAA